AAUGAACGCUGGCGGCAUGCCUUACACAUGCAAGUCGAACGGCAGCAUGACCUAGCUUGCUAGGUUGAUGGCGAGUGGCGAACGGGUGAGUAAUGCAUCGGAACGUGCCUUUUAGUGGGGGAUAACGUAGCGAAAGUUACGCUAAUACCGCAUAUUCUCUGAGGAGGAAAGCAGGGGACCUUCGGGCCUUGCGCUAGAAGAGCGGCCGAUGUCGGAUUAGCUAGUUGGUGAGGUAAAGGCUCACCAAGGCAACGAUCCGUAGCGGGUCUGAGAGGAUGAUCCGCCACACUGGGACUGAGACACGGCCCAGACUCCUACGGGAGGCAGCAGUGGGGAAUUUUGGACAAUGGGCGCAAGCCUGAUCCAGCCAUGCCGCGUGAGUGAAGAAGGCCUUCGGGUUGUAAGGCUCUUUCGGCUGGGAAGAAAUCGCACCCUCUAAUACAGGGUGUGGAUGACGGUACCAGCAUAAGAAGCACCGGCUAACUACGUG
RNAcentral lists this ribosomal RNA (490 nucleotides) under uncultured bacterium. Its description in RNAcentral is "partial 16S ribosomal RNA". It matches the Rfam family "Bacterial small subunit ribosomal RNA", at positions 29 to 507 of the family's 1533-position model. The record is from RNAcentral.